Molecule: ribosomal RNA, 247 nt
Filed under: uncultured bacterium
Lineage: Bacteria
Description: partial 16S ribosomal RNA
Rfam family: Bacterial small subunit ribosomal RNA
Source: RNAcentral
AUACGAGAGGUGCAAGCGUUAUUCGGAUUUAUUGGGCGUAAAGGGUGUGCAGACGGCCUGUUAAGUCACUUGUUAAAGACCCCGGCCUAACUGGGGACCUGCGAGUGAAACUAAUAGGCUAGAGGAUGGAAGAGAGAAGUGGAAUUCUCGGAGUAGAGGUAAAAUUCGUAGAUCUCGAGAGGAACACCGAUGGCGAAGGCAGCUUCUUGGUCCAUUUCUGACGUUCAUACACGAAAGCGUGGGGAGC